RNAcentral lists this long non-coding RNA (2829 nucleotides) under Zea mays. RNAcentral's name for it is "long non-coding RNA (ZMAY_LNC000003)". Lineage: Eukaryota; Viridiplantae; Streptophyta; Magnoliopsida; Poales; Poaceae. The record is from RNAcentral.
AGGCAUAUUACAGUAAUCACAAUUGAUACACACAUUGGAGAUAGAGAGGAAGACUUUUACAAAAUACACUUUACAUUCUAGAACUCAAGUCUUACAACAUAAAAGGGAAUGAAAUUAUUACAAGUCCUGAUAGUCUUUAGAGUGCAUAACUUAACUACAAUACUUGGAAAGGUGAAGCCUUUCCAUAAAAGAUUCACAUAAGUAAUCUAAGCUUCAAGACCUCCAUAAGGAGCAACUAAUAAAGCCAAGGCAUCAAAAAUCUUUCCUACAACAACAUAGGGAAUAAAACCCUAAGUAGGCAAUUACUCAGCAAGACUUACCCGACUAAGAAAAAGACUCUCAAGGGCAUGCUAGCUUUUGGGGAAUCAAGGGAAAAGCUCAUCAAUUAUCAAUGACUCCUUUUUGCAUAAAAGCUUACUAAUAAUGGAUCCUUAAGCCAAGUUUUAUUUCACAAGUUAGGUUAUUACCUGAAUCUACUAACCUGUCUCUAGAUUCUCCUAAUCUAGAUCAUUCACUUGGCCUACACUAGAUUGCUUUUAACCAAAACUCUGUUAUACUUGUUAUCUACGAUGCAGAGCAGUGAUCCAGUCUUCAUGACCGAGAAGUAACGGCGAUUCGAAUCGAUUAAUACCCAGCUGGGGAUCUCCAGCCACACGACAUAUGUAGCACUUAACCCUUGCAUAUGUCUACCAUUCCCACGGGUCCUCCACUACGUGAACCGGUCCGCGCCACCCGAGAGUACGGUACUCCACCAUCCAGCCACAUGCCAGGUGGGUACACGCCACUCCCGCCGUCUCUCCACUCCCAGUGCGCGAUUGUCUUUUCACAUAUGGAGUAGCCGGGUUCAGGCUUUCCCAUGACGAGGUAUGUGGCCAGUUAAAAGGUCCUAGAUCAACAGGCCUACAAUCGGUACGGUCCUUGAUCGACACAGACGGGCGACCUGUCCAGCUCAACGUCUGGUCUUAUUUUUAAACAAAUUCUCAAAGUUUGAUACCUGGCAGAGGUACCCUGCUUGAAUGAUGAAUUCAUCCCCGCGGAGGAUGCCUCCAUCAUCCCAAGCCCUUUUUCUUUUUAAAAAUCAUGAGUCAUAGAUCAAAAACAUUUUUCUUAAUCUAUAAGCAUAACUAAGCAUUACUAGUUUUUAUAAAACAGGUAACAAGGUAUGAUAAUCAAUCUUUCAAGGAUGGUAAUGCAUCAAGUGUUUAAUCAUUCAACUCCUAUUACCUAAUGCAGCAUAUAAGUGAUAAAAUUUUGUAAUACAAGGAAGGUGGCAAAUGCACCGGGGCUUGCCUUAUUGCAGGAGAAGAUCUAAAACCCUUCUACUCCGAUAAGCAGUUAGAUGGAGUCCAUCACUGGAUCAACAGCACUGGAGCAGGUUCCUCCUUUACAAAGAUCAAUUCUUCUUCUUGGUGUUCUACAUGAAUGUUAUGAAUAUGAAUGCUUGCGUAUGUUAGGAAUAUGUAACUUGCAAAGGAGACAACACAGAUUACUCCUAGACCAAACCUACAAGCUAUAGGUAUCAGGGAGCUAAGCACUCUUAGAACUCAUCUAACUAUCCAAAACUUGCUAACAACUUCCUUCUUUACUAAGACAUCAGGCGCUUUAACUACCGAGGGGUAAAACUCUCUCCCUAUAUUGAGCAAUAGCUAAUUCGCUAAGCAAAUCUUGACCAAACAGCUCUAAAUUUUACCCAAGGGUUCAUGCUCAACAUAAGCUUACACAAAUUUUCAUACAAUUUUUUAGUGCUCUAUUUUUAAACACUCCUAGCACACAAUCUAAAUCCUUUCUUCUCCAAUCAUCACGCAUAAACACUGGAUAAGGACGAUGGCGCAUAAACACUGGAUAUCACCUAAGAACCAAUUCUUUUGGACUUUCUCUUAAAUUUACACAUAUAUACGAACCAUACCUGCUCUAACACGCGACAAGCCGAUGAAGCGAGAGGAACCCGUAAGGCCGCACGGAGAAAACACGCCGAGCACGACGGCUUGUCGGGUGUGAGGAGCGCGAGUGCGACGAGGUCGGAGCAGAGGCUACGGGUUGUCCAAGACGACGACGCGAAGGAGCUGUGGGUCAAGCGCGGCCGGCGAGAAAACGACGAUGAUGUCACGGCGCGCCAAGAGCUCAGCGACGACGAGAGCACCGGUGCUGCUGCGAUGAGGUAGAGGGAUACGACGCUGAAACAGCAGGACGACGACGAGGUGGAGCUCGGACAGCUGGAGAAAGGUGUUGAAGUACGCAGGACCGGACAGGCUGAGAGCGAGCGAUUGGGGAAGAACUACAGAGAAGCUCGCUGGAGCACAGCUUGGAAACGAGCAAGUACAGGGUGGAUGCCGGGGCUAAGAAACAUGGAGAGCGAACGCUGGGGCAGGUGACGGCUGGGGGUUUUCCUGGGGGAGUUAAACGUGGUGAAGCCGUGCAGCAGUUCGAGUUGCAGGUGACGUGAGGAAUUCUCCAACCAGGAACAUCUAUCUCUAUUCAUAUGAGAGAAAAGAAAUAGAAUAUGGUAGCUUCUAGCUGUUGGGAUAAGAAAAAGAGUAGGCGGUGGAGAGUAUUCCAGAGAUAUGGACGUGUGCGAGAAAGAGGAGGAUAGCUGGAGAAUUCCCAACCAACCUUAUCUUCAAAAAAAACAUCUUCAAUUUUGGUUACAGAAUUCUGGUAGAUAUCCAGGAAAUGAGCUAAAACAUCCCCAACAGCUCUCCAACUGAAUUAAGCAAACUAAAUUAAAAUUUCAGCCACCCGAACUGAACUCGCAGCUCAACUGAACCCCCAUCCUCGUUCCAUUUUCAUCACAUGAUCCCAAAUGGUAACAGGUUCCAACAGGGAACCAAC